RNAcentral lists this unclassified non-coding RNA (7479 nucleotides) under Haliotis rubra (blacklip abalone). Its description in RNAcentral is "tBC1 domain family member 9-like, transcript variant X3". Lineage: Eukaryota; Metazoa; Mollusca; Gastropoda; Lepetellida; Haliotidae. The record is from RNAcentral.
GACCUUGUACUUGCCUCAGAUGUAGACGAUUAUAAUGAUCGGAAAGAAGGCAAAUUAGUUUAUUAAUUUUCUCAAGAAUCAUCUGAUGUAAAGGACAGCUAUUCCUUUGAGGAGAUCAUUAAUAGUUGUCGUUAUGUGGGUGAAACCAGAGGAAGUUCUUUUGGCCAACGCGCUGUGGGUCACAGAGAGGGCAAACCCAUACUUCAUCCUACAGAAGAGGAAGGGAUAUGGCGGAGGAGGUCUCACAGGGCUACUUGUUGGGACCCUGGAUACCGUGUUGGAUAACAAGACAUAUCCGUACCGGAUUCUUCAUCAGACACCAGGAUCUGAAGUUAGUUACUCUGUUGCCGUGGCGACCAACAAGCGGGAAAUCAGCAAGGACUGGGAAUGGCUGGAACAGCAUCUAAUGCAGACGCUUAGUGCCUUUGAGAGUGACGAGGAGUCAACAGACUUUGUACGUUGCAAGAUUGAGAGCUUGCUGGCCAACAGGGUUGUGCUCAAAGAAGAUGAGGAAACUGAGAGGUUCAAAUCUGCUACCAAGAAGUUCAGGAAAUUAUUCAAUAUGCCAAAGGAAGAAAAACUUGUUAAUUACUAUUCCUGCAGCUACUGGAAGGGCAAGGUGCCGAGACAGGGCUGGAUGUAUCUGAGUGUGAAUCACCUCUGCUUCUACAGCUUCCUGAUGGGCAGAGAGGCCAAACUCAUCCUCAGGUGGACGGACAUCACGAAACUGGACCGAGGCAACAACAUGUUGUUCCCCGACAGUGUCAAGGUGUCGACCCGCGAGGCUGAUCACUUCUUCUCAAUGCUGCUUCACAGUAAUGAGUCCUACCGCCUGAUGGAGCAGCUGGCCAAUAUGGCCAUGAGACAAUUGAUGCAAGAGGGUGGAUUUGAAGAAGAUACUUCCAUUUCCACCAGAACCAAACGGAAGACCUCAAGGAAGAUGUCAUCGCUCAAAAGGGACCUUGAUGCUAGAGCUCGCAGUGAGGCUUUCAGACAAGCGCUCCGGCUGCCAGAUGGGGACAAGCUGGAUGGGGAUGAAGAGUGUACGCUGUGGACGCCCUACAACAAGCAGCACGUGUGGGGACGGGUGUACCUCAGCAACAACUACCUGUGUUUUGCUAGUCGGGUUGGUAUCCCAGUACGUGACCUUGUGACUGUUAUAAUCCCCCUCCGUGACAUCCUGGUGGUGGAGAAGGUAGAUAACUCUGUGUCUGGAAACCUGAUACAGAAAGCACUGCAUAUAACAACCAAAGGCAAGAUGAAUUUCACAUUUGCGCAGUUUGACGACAGGAACUUCAUCCUGGAGAAGAUAUCCGACUUCCUCUCGAAGCAGUCAAUAAACAGAAGCAAGAGGAGGAGUACCAGCACAUCAUCUGACGGGAAAGGAAGCAUCUCUGAGGAGCCUGCUGAGGAACAGUUUCAGCCAGCACUCAUCAGUCUGUUUUGUCGCAGAGACUCGGAUGAGUUGUCUUCCAGAGAAACAGUCAAACAACACUUGUGGGAUGUGUAUUUCUCUGAAUAUGGCAGGGGCAUGUGUUCAUACCGCACCCAUCGGACCCUGGAGCUGAUCCUGAAGGGCAUCCCAGACAAGUACCGAGGGGAGACAUGGAUGAUCUUCUCUGGCGCCCUGAAUGAGAUGAACACCAAUCCCGGCUACUAUGCAAAUAUUGUGAACCAAAGUAAAGGGAAAUCCACCAUUGCCACUGAGGAGAUUGAAAGGGACUUACACAGAUCCCUGCCAGAGCAUCCAGCCUUCCAGACUGACCUUGGCAUAGGGGCGCUGCGGAGGGUGCUGACGUCGUAUGCCUGGAGGAACCCCAACAUAGGCUACUGUCAAGCUAUGAACAUCGUGACGAGUGUGUUGCUGCUGUAUACAAGUGAGGAGGAGGCUUUCUGGCUGCUGACGGCAAUCUGUGAGAGACUCCUGCCGGACUACUACAACACUAAGGUGGUCGGGGCGCUCAUUGACCAAGGUGUGUUCGAGGAACUGAUCCGUGACUACAUCCCUAGCCUGUACCAGAAGCUGGACACCCUUGGAUUGUUGUCGAUGAUCUCCCUGUCCUGGUUCUUAACCAUCUUCCUCAGUGUGAUGCCAUUCAACUGUGCCGUCAACAUCUUGGACUGCUUCUUCUUUGAUGGCGCCAAGGUGAUAUUUCAAAUAGCUUUAACCAUCCUGGACAACAAGAGCAGCGAGCUGCUGGGCUGUGCGGAGGACGGAGAGGCCAUGACUGUCCUCUGUCAGUAUCUGGAGAACGUGACAAACAGAGAUUCCACCAUGCCACAGGUCCAACACACCUCCAACAUGUCACGCUCACAGGAUCAGUCGUCUGUUGAUGUGACAGAUUUGAUUGAUAGCAGCUACAGGAAGUUUGGCAUCAUCACCAAUCAGGACAUUGAGCGACUUCGUCUCAAGUACAGACUCAGAGUUGUACAGACAAUUGAGGACAACGUGAUGAAGAACAUUGUCCGCAGUGUGUCAUCUGAUACGCUGUUUGAAGGCAAGGAGCUGGCUGACCUCUACAUUCUCUUCAAGGAGGAAUACCUGACUUCAUGCUACUGGCGCACCAGUCAGCAGCCUGUGGACACAAGCGACAAGUACGAUCCUGCCAGACCCUACUAUGAGCAGUACAAGGUGGACUUCGACCAGUACAAGACCAUGUUCCUGUCUCUGUCACCAUGGGCAACAGGAUCACAUGCUGGAGUUGUUGCCCUUAGAUCUUUCAGGUAUCUGGACAGCAACAAAGACAACAUGGUGAACUUCAAGGAGUUUGUCCACCUGCUGGGUGUGCAGUGUAAGGGGGACUUCAACCAGCGCCUCCGGCUCAUCUACAUCCUCCACCAGCCCCCCUGCCUGCUGCCAGACGAGAAGGACGAGGAAACACCUACAUCACCUCAGUCAGACUCAACAGAGAGUGCUGUGGAGGCGACAGACUUCUUCGAUGACGAUGAUGCAGCGAAUGCACAGAAGGAGUGUGAUGGUGCUGAUGACUUGGAAUUGCCAAGUGUCGCAGCAGUGAAGGCCACUGCCCCCAGAGACAUUCCUGCCCCUUCUGCGGAGAAGGCCUGCCCCCCAGGGUCCCUGCCCCUGGGGUCAGUGGAGAGGGAAGCCUCCCUAGGGGAGAGUGUGGGAGAGGAAUCCAGUCAAGACCCCACAGAGAACUACAGCAUUGAUUCGCCUACAAGAAGCAUCAGUUCCAAGUCCAGCUUCAAGAGGUUUGAGUUGAAAAGGAUCCGCGCUGACAGCAAGGAUGACUUCAGGAGCAUACCGAGGAUGAACCAGUACCAGUUCAUUCAGAUGUGGAAGACCCUGUAUGACAUGUUCAACGAACACGAGGAGGAACAACAGCUCUAUCAUGCAAUUGCCACCAUCGGCACAUUACUUCUUCAGAUUGGGGAGGUUGGGAAACGAUUCAUGCGGAAAAGUGAAUCUGGAGACAGCAGCCUAUUCACUGAAUCUGACCUUCCUCUGUCCUCUAGCAUCGACAGUCAGAGUGACAUGUCCAUUAGCCCAAGUCAGAGGACACUUGAGAGCAGUUCGCCGUUUGAAAGUCAUGUAAAUACACCAACAAAUUCAUCCAAUCCUCCUGCAGAUAAAGACAAUUUGACCAAAAAGACAUUAGCAGAAGGGGAUAAUGUUGCAAGUGUUAAAGAUCCUAACAGUAAUGUCACUGAUGAGCAGAACAGUGUCACCAAGGGAGACAAUGCAGACAAAUCCAAGGGAGAUAAUUCUGAUGUAAAGGGAGACAAUUCUGUCAAGUCUAAGGGAGGUAAUUCUCAGAAGGAACUGAAGACUGAGGACAGUUUGAAGGAGAAUGUAUCUGAAGAAGAAAAUGGCAACUCAAGUCAAAAAUCAGGCAACAGUGUUGAUGCUUCUCGGGAAAGUCGAAGCAGCGUCGCCUCUGAGGGUCAACAGUCGUAUGAAGAGUCUUCCCAAAACUCAAGCAAACCAGAUUCAGAAUGGUCGAUCUCCUUUGAACAAUUUCUUGCAUCCAUGCUAACUGAACCUGUACUAGUAAAGUAUUUUGAAAAGCAAUACAACGUAUGCGAUUCUGUCUCCAAAAUGAGAAACAGAAGAUUACAAACUCAGACGAGUACGUUUAGUCAGGCAACAGCUCAGUCAAACUCUUAAUAUCUGUGAUCAUAAUAGCUCUGUGUCUUCUAGAGUGUAUUUUCAAAUUUGUUAGCUCAGAUGUAGAAAAUGUUGAUGAAACGCAGAAUUAAAUAGUCAUAAUGCAUUAUGAUGUUGGAUAUUUGGGGUUAUGAUUAGUUUUGGGGCUAUAGUGUUUGCAACAUUGGAACACCUCCAUGUAACUGCCUUAGGAGUCUCGUCAGAAUGGAAGCUGAAAAUAUACUCCUUUUAUUUUGACACUUUAAAGAAGUAGACGAAAUAGUCCCAGAUCAUGCAAUAGCCUUCAUUUUAUUAUAUCACUGUGAAAAUAAUUCAGUUGAAAUAAGCAUUUGUACAAGUUGAAUGCACACAACCUCCCAUAUGUUAAUGAAAUCACUUCUGUCAAAGACCACAAUUAUUGAAGUUAUAUUAUCUCUUAAAAUGUUGUUGGGUCAUAAAUUGUAUUGAGAUUUGUUUAUAUAUCAACCAAAAUAUGUUUAGGUGAAAAGAUUUUUAAUGAAAGACAUCUGUUUGUGUUAGUAUUUGCUUGAGAACAUGUUAUUUGUUGUAUAUGCUAUAGACUACUGUAUUAUUUCACAAUGUUAAAAUCGGAUCCUUCCUUCGACUUUGAUACUUUCUGCAUCAUGAUCUGACCUUUGAGGUCAUGCCAGGUGAACCUGAAUGACCUUUGUUGGCCAAUCAAACUAGGAGAUGUAUUUGGAGACAGUUAUCAUGUAGUAUGUGGUCUAACACAAUUCAGUUUCAUUUUGGUGAUGGAUGUGAUGAUUGGUUUGGGGAUAUGUAAUGAUAGUCACACAGAAUCCUUAAUGGUCCUGAACGAUGUGUUAGAGACAAUAGGGUUAAAACUACCUACACCAAAUCUUGUUCUUCAUUUGGAACUGCCUGUUUAUGAUUAAUUCCAAGAUGCAGCAGUCAGAUAUGCUUCUGAGAAUGUUUUGCUCCAAGAAGUUCUGUUUUGAUUGGCUGAUGACAAAGUUCACCUGAUGCAAUGCCUAUCGAGGGUUUGUCUUGAUGAAGUAUUCAGGGAGACCGAGACGUCCGAUUUGAAGGAGAUUUGAGAAGUUGUAUAUGUAACUAUUUUGACCAGUUUGUUGGUUAAUGGUUUCAACCUGGAUAAUGUAUGUAUGUAUGUGACCACAGUGUGGGCAUUCAUCAUUCUAUUCAUUGUUGACGAUAUUACUUUCACUUUAUUCAUUGGUUUUGUGGGUUUCUCAUUAUGCAUAUUAAUUGAAACAUCACUUUUUGGUGAAAAUAUAGCUUCUUAAGAAAAUAUGAAACAAAAACGAAGUCAUUAUGUGAAUUCAAUCACAAACACACUGUGGCUGUGUUUUCUAAUCCUGCAACCUUGAAAAGAUUAACAUGGAGUAUUCUGAAUGACAGUCAUUGGCUGAACAACAAAUUCCACAAAACACAUUGUAUGUCUUUUGUUUCAAACAUUGAAAUGAAGGAGAGAAAGUGCCCAUUGGAAAGACUGCCAGACAAUCUCAGCCAUCUACAGACUAUAAGUUUUCAAGUUUUAAAUUAAUAUAUUUCAAAUCGUAGUCUGGGAUUGAAGUUGCUUGGCUAAUGGCUACAUCUUGUUAGUAACAUUUUGAUCAGUCGAAGUUCAACAAGGUUGUUCCGGGACCUAUAUUGGGAUGUCCUCAGAUCUCAGUGAAGCGGCAAUGAGCACUGAAAACGGAUUUUCAUGAGAUAGUUUUUUCAUAGUUAUGACAUGGAACUUCAUUCUAGAAGGUACAUGUAUACAAUUUGUUGUUAAAACACUAUUAUGACAACACAAGGUUGAUGUGGGUCAAAGUUUGUUGAAAUAUGAAGAUUAAAUAUUAUUUUUGCUUCAGAUAAUGUUACUCUAUUUUCUAUGCCAAAUGACUGCAUGUUAGUGCUUCCAGGAUUUGUAUGCAUGUGUAGAUGUCAGAAAACUGAAGGAUUUCUCGAGAUAGUGCCCAGCUGCCAUGGUAACAGCCAAUCUAUGCCUUGUUAAAUAAUGAUUUUUGCGACAAUACAGACAAAGACAUAAUCAUGAAUGUGUGUUAAUGUCUGUAGAAGUUUUUUCUUCAAUCUUUUAUGCCCUUAUUUCCCUCAAUCAUAUUAAUUGCUGACAGUUUAGAUGUAUAAUUUUACAGUGUCAUGAUGUAGUGUCUUCAUACAAUUUGUCUUGAUGCAGUGUCUGAUACAAUGUGUCAUGAUGCAUUGUCUUGAUACAAUCUGUCAUCAUGCAGUGUUUUAUAUGAUGUGUCACAGUGCUGUGUCUGAUACAAUAUGUCACAAUUCAAUGUGUCCUGAUGCAAUGUUGAAACAAUGUGUCCUGAUGCAGUGUCUUGAUACAAUGUGUCCUGAUGCUGUGUCUGAUACAAUGUGUCACAAUGCAGUGUCUGAUACAAUGUGUCACAAUGCAGUGUCUGAUACAAUGUGUCACAAUUCAGUGUCUUGAUACAAUGUUUCACAAUGCAGUGUCUGAUACAAUGUGUCUUGAUUCAGUGUUGUGUCACAAUGCAGUAUCUUGAUACAAUGUGUCACAAUGCAGUAUCUUGAUACAGUGUGUCACAAUGCAGUAUCUUGUUACAGUUUAUCACAAAUCCAAGAGAAUAUGAGUUUUCAUCACAUGGAUUGGCAUUGAGUAAUACAUUGGCAUUGAGUAAUAGAUCUUACAAGAAACUUGACUUAGCAAACUCUCAGUGUAAUGGCACACAUCCAUGGGAACGUGCAAUCAAACUUAUUGUUAGAUUUUGUUGUCUUUCAUACUUUCAAAUAAUGAAUUGUGCAUUAACCAUGAUGGUUAAAUAUUAGUGUUAUUUUUACUUCAUAUCUUUUCAUUAAAUAACAUACAAACUUGAUUAGAUUUGAUUUGAAUGAAUCAUUUAUUUACCAAUAGUUCUUCCAUUUCAUUAUUUGCUGAUAUUUAUACAUGUGACUGAUGUGAUCUGUUUUUCAAUUAAUAGAUUAUUCUCAUAUCAUUAUUUCAUGAUACUUGACUUAAGAUAGGAAUACUGGGCUAGUGAUGCCUUUCUGCUUAAAAUUUAUGUCAUAUAUACUAGAGUGAGAGAGUUUGGUUGUACGCCGCUUUUAUCAAUAUUCCAGCAACAUCACGGCGGGGAACACCAGAAAUAGGCAUCACACAUUGUUCAUACAUACUAGAACUUAUUGACAACCAUACCUUUGUACAAUGGUAUUCCUAUCAAUGGUUUAGUACAUGUUAACAAAAAAUGGAUUAGAAUCUUGAGGGUAUUGGUGUAGAGCUGAAUACACAAUCUGAUAAACAUAUCUCAAAGUAUUUAUGUUCCCGAACUUUAUUGUUUAGUUCAUAAAAGAUUCUCAAGUACUAUUUCCACAAUAAACACAACUGCCUCCAA